RNAcentral lists this ribosomal RNA (433 nucleotides) under uncultured bacterium. RNAcentral describes it as "partial 16S ribosomal RNA". It matches the Rfam family "Bacterial small subunit ribosomal RNA", at positions 29 to 507 of the family's 1533-position model. The record is from RNAcentral.
AACGAACGCUGGCGGCAUGCCUAACACAUGCAAGUCGAACGAGACCUUCGGGUCUAGUGGCGCACGGGUGCGUAACGCGUGGGAACCUGCCCUUAGGUUCGGAAUAACUCCCCGAAAGGGGUGCUAAUACCGGAUAAUGUCUUCGGACCAAAGAUUUAUCGCCCUUGGAUGGGCCCGCGUUGGAUUAGCUAGUUGGUAGGGUAAAAGCCUACCAAGGCGACGAUCCAUAGCUGGUCUGAGAGGAUGAUCAGCCACACUGGGACUGAGACACGGCCCAGACUCCUACGGGAGGCAGCAGUGGGGAAUAUUGGACAAUGGGCGAAAGCCUGAUCCAGCAAUGCCGCGUGAGUGAUGAAGGCCUUAGAGUUGUAAAGCUCUUUUACCCGGGAUGAUAAUGACAGUACCGGGAGAAUAAGCUCCGGCUAACUCCGUG